This 2478-nucleotide ribosomal RNA is filed under the name Nematostella vectensis (starlet sea anemone). Its description in RNAcentral is "eukaryotic LSU rRNA". The stretch from base 1358 to 2478 matches the Rfam family "Eukaryotic large subunit ribosomal RNA", at positions 1891 to 3084 of the family's 3401-position model. The record is from RNAcentral. Lineage: Eukaryota; Metazoa; Cnidaria; Anthozoa; Actiniaria; Edwardsiidae.
GCUUAUGUCAAGGGAAAACUUCAAACGUCCCACCCCGAGACCCGAGGAGCCAUGCUAAUGUCUAGGGCAAACGUCCCACCCCGAGACUCGAGAAACUAUGCUUAUGUCUAGGGCAAACUAUAAACGUCCAUCCUGAGACUCGGGAGAACUAUGCUUGUACCUAAGACAAACCAUCCUGAAACUAGGAUAUCCUUUAGUAUGUCGGCAUGGCAAUAUCGAAAGAAAAAUCGUGGUUGUGUUUGGAGCUGUCCGAUGGAUAAGCACCGGAAGUAGAAACGCGAGAGGCGUGCAAAAGCAAAGGUCUCGCUGAGGGUUGUGUGUCGAGUGAAUUCGGUGUAAGACGCGAGGCCCCUAUUCAGGGAGCACUUUGUUGCAGCUCGUUAAGAUGGGCAAAAAAAAAGGCUGCGGUCGUGUAAGGUUGCGCGACAAUGCGUCGUCGGCCCAAGCGAUUCUGCUUAAGAUUAUUAACGAAAGCGACGUUGACUCUCUUAAGGUACCAUCCAAGCCUGGUUGCCCGGGUGGAUCCUUAAUGCCGAGGAAUACCUGUUUUAUUCAGGAAAGGUAGUUUAGCGACCCACUUUCUGAGGCACUUGUGUCGAGAAAGACCUGCAAUCAGCGAAGGGUAAGCGGUCGCUUCUGGAGGCAAAGUGCGGGGCGUCUUCGUUCGCGAGAUGGACGGUUUCACCGUUGAAACUCCGCACAUGCGAUUGAUGCGAUGGGCUUGGCUAACUAUUGCUUUCGCUCUGAGUGUGCCCAUCGCAAAGUACUUACAUAUAAACGCGAUCCGGUAAUAGUGCUGUGUCCAUUGUAUCGGGGGGCCUGACACGGGGAGUCUGAAAGGGGGGGAUGAAGCUCCUGUCUCUGGGACCAGAGGGGUGCAGACUCCCCUCCGUUCUUGGAGGGUAUAAGCGUCUCUAAACCGUCUUUUGACUUAACGUCUUUGCUUUCUAGCUCUGGCGUUGAAAAGGACCCUGUUUCAUGCAGCCCAUUGGCAGCCGCUGAAUCAGGUUGAUGACGAUAUAGGUUUGGGAUGAAUGCUUUGAGCUGACAUUUCACAAUGCCGUGAGGGCUUCGGCUCGUUUCAAUGCCACCCCAAGGCACACAAGACGUUUUGGGACGUCUUCUAUGGGUUGGCGCCACGGUAAUGCGUGCUCCCUGCGCUUCAGUGGAUAAUACACCCUGACCCCCUCAGCCGAGCUCGAGCCAGAUAGGAGUGGUUCCUCUUCAUAGGUCGGAGGUAGGCUUUAGUACUGAGCAGAAUUAGAGCUCUAGUAGUAGUUACUAUGGCAAGGUUCUCUUGAAUGGUGGGGUGAAACUAGGUAAGUAGUAGUUACUAUGGCAAGGUUCUCUUGUAUGGUGGGGUGAAACUAGGUAAGUAGUAGUUACUAUGGCAAGGUUCUCUUGUAUGGUGGGGUGAAACUAGGUAAGUAGUAGUUACUAUGGCAAGGUUCUCUUGAAUGGUGGGGUGAAACUAGGUAAGUAGUAGUUACUAUGGCAAGGUUCUCUUGAAUGGUGGGGUGAAACUAGGUAACCAGCUCCGGAGAGCCUGUAACGCAUGUGAUCUUUCGGCGUUUGUUAGGGGGGUAACGAAACUGAAAAGCUCUGGGGGUAUUCGAGGGUCGAUAGAGGGACUCGACCUCUCUUGGUGAGCGAACAUGUGUUUUGCCCAAUGCCAUGAGGGAUGAGUCCGCAAUUGGGUGCUAAUUUCCCCGUGCUGUUUCAUCAGAUAGCCAAAGGUAGCCAAAUGCCUCGUCAUCUUAUUAGUGACGCGCAUGAAUGGAUUAACGUGAUCCCCACUUUCCCUAUCUACUAUCUAGCGAAACCACAGUCAAGGGAACUGGCUUGGCACAAUCAGCGGGAAAAGAAGACCUUGUUGAGCUUGACUCUAAUCUGACCCUGUGAAAAGACUUGAGAUGUGUAGAAUAGGAGGGAGUAGCAAUAGAUCUGUGAAAUACCACUAAUCUUAUCGUUUUUUACUUACCCGAUGAAGCGGAAGCAAACCGCAAGGUUCCCGUUUGGAUUUGAGGUCUCUCUUUUGCAGGCCGAUCCGUGUCAAAGACACUAUCAGGUUGGGAGUUUGGCCGGAGCUCAAUGAGAACAGAAAUCUCAAACAAAAGGGUAAAGGCUCACUUGAUUUUGAUUUUCAGUAUGAAUACAAACUGUGAAAGCAUGGCCUAUCGAGCCUUUAGACUUUAUGAGUUUUUAGCUAGAGGUGUCAGAAAAGUUACCACAGGGAUAACUGGCUUGUGGGAGCCAAGCGUUCAUAGUGACGUUGCUUCUUGAUCCUUCGAUGUCGGCUCUUCCUAUCAUAGCGAAGUAGAACUCGCUAAGUGUUGGAUUGUUCACCCACUAACAUGAGCUCCUUCGUGAGACAGGUUAGUUUUACCCUACUGAUGAAGUGUUGUUGCAAUAGUAAUUCUGCUCAGUACGAGAGGAACCGCAGAUUCAGACAAUUGGCAUUUGCACUUGGCUGAAAAG